ACUGCAAUUGGCGGAAAAAAUGCGUACGCAUACUGCAACUCAUAAGGCUAAGAGUCAACAGCAUGCGUACGCAUGAAUAUAAGUGACAUGAAGGGAUGCAUGAAUGCAUGAAUGAAUGUGGCUCAAAGGCCCCAAAUCAUUACGUGUACACUAAAACCGUAGUGUAUUGAGCUGGCGUGGCGAUGGUGUCACCUUUGAGCCAUGUCUGUGGUCUAACAGCCACAGGUGUAAUCGGGUGUCGGGCAGUGCUCUGCUCCUUUUGUGGAGCCUAGUCGGCUCGGUUGCAUGCCAAUGAAUGCCCUUCAAAAGGUGUUCAUGGGCGGAUGGCACGUUUACUUUGAACAAAUUUGAGUGCUCAAAUCAGGCCGACGUUGCCUGAAAAGUUUUGCAUGGAAUAAUGGAAUAGGACUUCGGUUCUAUUUCGUUGGUUUUCGGAUCCGAAGUAAUGAUCAAAAGAGACAGGCGGGGACGUUUGUAUGGCUGCGUUAGAGGUGAAAUUCAUGGACCGUAGCCAGACAAACUAAAGCGAAAGCAUUCGUCAAGCAUGUUUUCAUUGGCCAUGAGCGAAAGUCAGAGGCUCGAAGACGAUCAGAUACCGUCCUAGUUCUGACCAUAAACGAUGCCAACUGACGAUCCGUGGCGGUAGUUUAUAAACCUUCCCCACGGGCAGUCCCCGGGAAACCUUUAAGUCUUUGGGUUCCGGGGGAAGUAUGGUUGCAAAGCUGAAACUUAAAGGAAUUGACGGAAGGGCACCACCAGGAGUGGAGCCUGCGGCUUAAUUUGACUCAACACGGGAAAACUCACCCGGGCCGGACACUAUGAGGAUUGACAGAUUGAUAGCUCUUUCUUGAUUUGGUGGUUGGUGGUGCAUGGCCGUUCUUAGUUGGUGGAGCGAUUUGUCUGGUUAAUUCCGAUAACGAACGAGACUCCAGCCUGCUAAUUAGUGCAUUUGUCCACUGUACCAGCCGAGCGGCGCAGUGUCAACUGCUUUGGCUCAGUGUGGUGUGGCUGUGUGGGGCUGUGUGCGGCGUGCUUGGCCUGCAUGUUGUGCUCGGGCGGAUGGCACCACGUUAGCUAGCAGGUGCGGCGCGAAUGCUUACUUCUUAGAGGGACACGCGGGAGAAGCCGCACGAAAUAGAGCAAUAACAGGUCUGUGAUGCCCUUAGAUGUCCGGGGCCGCACGCGCGCUACAAUGGCGGUGUCAACGAGUCAGACCUUCUGGCCUGAAAAGGUUGGGUAAACUGGUCAAUCACCGUCAUGACAGGGAUCGGGGCUUGGAAUUGUUCCCCGUGAACGAGGAAUUCCUAGUAAGUGCAAGUCAUAAGCUUGCGCUGAUUACGUCCCUGCCCUUUGUACACACCGCCCGUCGCUACUACCGAUUGAAUGGUUUAGUAAGGUCCUUGGAUUGGUGCCAUUUAGGUUCCACCGAAAGGUGAGUAUCUAGCCGGUGCUGAGAAGACGACCAAACUUGAUCAUUUAGAGGAAGUAAAAGUCGUAACAAGGUUUCCGUAGGUGAACCUGCGGAAG
RNAcentral lists this ribosomal RNA (1527 nucleotides) under Hymenolepis microstoma. Its description in RNAcentral is "SSU rRNA". It matches the Rfam family "Eukaryotic small subunit ribosomal RNA". The record is from RNAcentral. Lineage: Eukaryota; Metazoa; Platyhelminthes; Cestoda; Cyclophyllidea; Hymenolepididae.